GUUCUCUAGAAUUUCAUUCCAAGUUAAGUCUGGUCUUCUUUGCGUAAUUUAUAUAGCAGGGUCUACAAGAAUUGGAUGCAGAUCCACUAUCCCACCCUCCCCUCUGUAUUUACUGCAAUGCAUAUUUACCUGGAGGUAGCAUCUCAGCGGUAUGUCAAGUGCCAAGUCAGUUUUCACUAAAUACAAAUUUUAAUAUAUACUGGUUGUAUAUUUAUGGAUUAUAGUUGAAAUUCUCAAAUGAAUAAAUAUUUUUGUAGUCCUAUAUACAGCUACCUAAAACAGAAGUUGGCACAUCUUCAUUAGAAGGUAUGCUCACUAGCUUGAUUUCUCCUAGAGAUGUAGAAUGUUUAUUCCCGCAAUGUUAUUUUGCAAUUUCCUUUUUUGAUGUAGCUGCUUAUCUAUCAAGUUUAUUUAGCAGAGUGUCUAUGAAAGUGUGCAGUUCAAAUAAUCGGGUUAUGUUAUACUAAGUAUCCUAUAAAUGAUCUGAAUGAACACAAGCGAUGGCGUCCGUCGGCCACGGUGCCCAAGGCGUAGACUGGACCCUUCUAAGGAGGCAUGUGGGGAUGCAUGCAAGACAUGCCCUCAUUCUAUGAAACAAAGUCAAAAGCAAAUGGGAGUAUGAGAGAUGGUGUAUGGACCAAGUGAUGGAGCAUCUCACGGACGGCGGCCCUCACUUCAAGCUCGAUGAGCUUAACUUAAACAUGCUCUUGCACUGGCAUGGUCGUGAUAGGUUUGUCAUCUGGGCGAUUGCCCGUGUUCGAAAGAUGCAUUAGGAGGGGAGUGACGAAGCCGGAGGGGCCGAGGUGCCCUCAUCAUCAUGGGUGCUUGACGGUGCAUCAUAGACCAGGCGGAGGAUCUCCUGGUGGAGCUUGGCAGAACCGAGGCACUUGGAGGAGAAGACGCCAUGGAGCCCUCGCCCGCUGCUGGUAGGCUUUGGCGAGGACGAGCGCCGGGAAAGGUCCCAGAUGUUGCGCCAAGGCCUUCCGCGCCCGCACCCGAGGUAGGUGCUUCACUAACAAGCUGCUACAAGUGUACAAGGCCUUCCACGUUGAAGCUGAGAAGGCAAGAAGAUUUCGUUAUUAAUAGGGACAAAUAGGUGGCUAGCGUAUCCUUUUUGGUUGGCUGAAGCGUUGGAGUGCUAAAGUUCCAGAUAAAAAUCCAUCUUUGGCGCAUUUGUUUUCAGAUUAUUGCUGUUGGAGAUGAGCUAUACAGAGAGAGACACACACACUUAUCUGUACAAAAUCCAUCUUUGGCGCACUUGGGGAAACUUUGUCCAAGGGCAAUUCAUAGAUUGGAAUUUAGAUUUGGGGCAAUUUUGUUUGCCUUGCUUUGUACGGAUGUUGCUAUGCUUUGUGUAUUGUUGUCAUUAUUGUACAGAGAGAAGAUACAGUGAGAC
RNAcentral lists this ribosomal RNA (1396 nucleotides) under Triticum aestivum (bread wheat). RNAcentral describes it as "partial small subunit ribosomal RNA". The record is from RNAcentral. Lineage: Eukaryota; Viridiplantae; Streptophyta; Magnoliopsida; Poales; Poaceae.